AUGGCAAAGAUUGUGCUCCUCGUCCUGCCCUUGCUCUCCCUGCUGCUGCCCUUGCUCUUUUGGUGUGUCGCCCAGGCCCAGCUGGCCAAGGAGUUCUGCGUGGCCGACCUGGCCAGCAGCGACACGCCGGCCGGCUACCCGUGCAAGCCCCAGGCCGCCGUCACCGCCGACGACUUCUACUACCGCGGCCUGGGCACCACAGGCCCGACCGUCAACCCGUUCAAGAUCAGCUUGUCCUCGGCCUUCGUCACCAGCUUCCCCGGCGUGAACGGGCUGGGCAUCUCCGCCGCGCGCGUCGACUUCGCGGUGGGAGGCGUGGUGCCGCUGCACUGGCACCCGGCGGCCACGGAGCUCAUCUUCGUGGUGGAGGGCACCCUGUCGUGCGGCUUCAUCAGCGCCACCUCCAACAACAGGGUCUACACCAACACCCUGUACAAGGGCGACAUCAUGGUGCUCCCGCAGGGCCAGCCGCACUUCCAGUACAACCUCGGCAACACCACCGCCGUGGCGCUCUCCACCUACAGCAGCCCCAACCCCGGCGUCCAGACCCUCGACUUUGCGCUCUUCGCCAACAACCUCCCGUCGGAGGUGCUCACCAAGGUCACCCUCCUCGACGACUUGCAG
Molecule: ribosomal RNA, 624 nt
Filed under: Triticum aestivum (bread wheat)
Lineage: Eukaryota; Viridiplantae; Streptophyta; Magnoliopsida; Poales; Poaceae
Description: partial small subunit ribosomal RNA
Source: RNAcentral